AUAGUAAGUUGGCUGGAUAUCAUGUUUAGUAUUUGUUUGUGUGCUCAUUUUCAAGCUCAACCUAAGAGUCAUACUUAUUGGCCAUAAAGAGAAUUCUUAGAUAUGCAAAGGAAUCGUUAAACUUGGUGCUAUUCAUAAUAAUAGUAGUCUACUUCUAUAUAUAUAUAUAUAUAUAUAUAGUAGCUCUACUUAUAUAUUCAUGAGUACAAAAGACUCUACACUCAUAAGAGUACAAUACCCUACUUAUAUAUAUAAUUGAGCUCCUAUGCUUUUAAAAGUACUAAGUCAUUGGUACAUAUGUAAGUUUUCGGUCCUUAGAUUAAGAAAUGUGUGGUUAUGAUGAUAGCGGUUCUCUAGGAUUGAGUAGGGGUUGAUUGACUAGUAUGAUCUAACAGCUGAAAAUGGUCAAAGAGGUAGAUAUCCUUUGAGAAGAACUGAAGCUUCAUCCUCCUAAGUUGUUUUAGAUGAUACUAAUUCUGAAUCAGUGAUCGGAACUGUUAAAAUUGAUUUAAAGUAUUUAAAACGUCUAGCAACUAAAUUUCAUAAAUUUUGCAAAUCGUUAUCAAGUCCAUCGAAGAAUCGAAAAAUAAACGGCUAAAAAGAAUAAUCUUGUAAAAAUAGAUGUUAAACUUUCUCAAUUUAUAAUUAGAGUUCAACCAUCAUCUAAAUAGUAUAAAGAAUUUUCUAUUAAAAAUUCAAGCGGUUUAGAUUGCUCUAUACCGUUAAAUAAGGAAACGGCUCAUAUAGGCUAUCAAAAAUUAUGAAUUUUGUGAUCUUUUGAUAAUUACAUAAAUAAUAUUUAAAAUUUUUGAA
RNAcentral lists this long non-coding RNA (813 nucleotides) under Ananas comosus (pineapple). RNAcentral describes it as "long non-coding RNA (ACOM_LNC003908)". Lineage: Eukaryota; Viridiplantae; Streptophyta; Magnoliopsida; Poales; Bromeliaceae. The record is from RNAcentral.